This 253-nucleotide ribosomal RNA is filed under the name uncultured bacterium. RNAcentral describes it as "partial 16S ribosomal RNA". It matches the Rfam family "Bacterial small subunit ribosomal RNA", at positions 524 to 776 of the family's 1533-position model. The record is from RNAcentral.
UACGGAGGGAGCUAGCGUUGUUCGGAAUCACUGGGCGUAAAGCGCACGUAGGCGGAUCUUUAAGUCAGGGGUGAAAUCCCUCGGCUCAACCGGGGAACUGCGUCUGAUACUGGGUGGCUUGAAUCCGGGAGAGGGAUGCGGAAUUCCAGGUGUAGCGGUGAAAUGCGUAGAUAUCAGGAGGAACACCGGUGGCGAAGGCGGGUCUCUGGGCCGAUACUGACGCUGAGGAGCGAAAGCGUGGGGAGCGAACAGG